This 2256-nucleotide ribosomal RNA is filed under the name Triticum aestivum (bread wheat). Its description in RNAcentral is "partial small subunit ribosomal RNA". Lineage: Eukaryota; Viridiplantae; Streptophyta; Magnoliopsida; Poales; Poaceae. The record is from RNAcentral.
AUGAGCCACACCCCUGACCAGCCAGGUCCACUGGCACAGCAGUCGCGCUGCACCCCGCAGGCUAGAUCCGCCGCUAGGGCACCAGGUCCCCACAUCGUGCAGCAACCCGAAGGGGUCAUGCCCGGACGCCCACCACGUUGCCUCCCUUACAGACCUCCCCUUCAACUAGAAGAGAAGUUUGCCGCCACCCGAACCGGAGCCGCCAUUCCGGCGCACCAGCCAAUGCAGCCCGCACAGGCCAGGACCCACCACGCUACCCUGUCACCACGGCCACAGUGGCGGCGAUGCGAGGGAGGAGGAGAGGAGGGGGCUAGCAGCGACGCGACUGGGGCUUCCCUCUCUACCCUGCCAGGGAUCUACCCGAUGUUGCACCCUCUCCACAACCGGUUUAAGAUCCUUCAUGCAGAUUUUCGCAUCGCUUACCGGAAGGCCCAGAUGGAGUGCAACACGAGAUAUAUAAAGAAGAUGUUGAGGAACAAGUCGCGCUCCGUCCUCUCCCGCCUCUUCCUACUCUGCAGGAAUCGCGCGCCGCGGCCACUGCGGGAGCACGCCGCUGCCUCGCAGCUCCGAGUUCCGGAGGCAGCCAGACGACGUUUGCCCUUCUCCUUCUCCGAGUCCGGCGGCCACAUCAUCAAACGGCCACCACCACCGCUGGUGGCUGCAGCGACGGCCUUCGCCGCUGGCGCAUCGGCGAUCGCUGCCCACCUCAGAUACGGCGAGACCGUGCCCUUCACCGGGCGCACCCACCUUGUCGUGAUCUCUCACCAGGAAGCACGCGUGCUCGAAGAGGCCGACUUCGCCGACUUGGUGAAGAAGCACGAUAUCCUCGGCCCGCACCACCCCCACACCGUCCGAAUCCGUCACAUUGCCCGCGAGAUCAUCACUGCCGCACACAUUGCCCUGGACAUCAAGCAGAGGCAGACGGAAUCUGGAUUGGAUGGAGAAGCUGGACUGGGAGGUGAUCGUCGUCGAAAGCAACAACUUCCUGGUAGGGACCUAUCCCGGAGCCGCCAAGAUCAUCGUCGCCCACGUCAUUGCAAGGCACACAUCAGAAAUGAUCAGCAAUUGGUUUCCAUUAAAGGCCUUGUUACGAAGAUACAUGAUCCAUGUAGGCAAGAGAUAGAGGCGGAUCAUAUCGGGAUGCUGUUGUUCGCCGCUGCUGGCUUCGAUCCACGCAUAGUCCCGCUGCUGUGGGACAGAGAGGGAGUAGCCAUGUCAGUGCAAACAGGCAUGCCGUGUCUCUUAUCUUCCAGGGUUUGGGCAUUAUUGUUAUCUGCUCCAUUGGAUGCUGCAGUGGAGAAUAAUGAUAAGCAUUUUAGCCUUGCUGAAUCCUUCAUCCUACUAAGAAGAUCUCCAGCUUUCCUGUGGACUAAAGGCCUCAGGACAACAGAUGGUGUCAGGAACUCCCGAGCUUCCUUAAGACAUGGCAAGACAUCCCCCUUAAGCAAAGAACAAGCAAAUAUCUGCAACCGAGUGGAGCCGUCAUUCACAGUGCCUGACGCAUCCAACAACGAAUAUCCAUCAACUGAAAUCCUACGAUUACUACCAUGCCAGACCACCGGCAUACACAAUCAAAAGAAAAUAUACACCCAUUCUGAACGGAAUAAGUUGAAGUCAGUGUACCGCAAAAUCUCGAUGCUUCUUGCUUGCAACAGCUUCUUUUGCUUUUCCUUCUGCGGAAGGACGCGGGGGACGGAGGCGGGCGACGCGGCGGGGCCCAAGGCGGGCGCCGCGGCUGCUGGCUCGCGACGCUGCGACUGGAGGAGGCGCGCGACGCAGCUGGGCCCAAGGCGGGCACCGUGUCUGCUGGCUCGCCUGCUGCGGCCGGAGGAGGAGCGCGACGCGGCUGGAAGUGCGCAGCUGGGCGUUUUUGGCGCUGGAAGACCCAAACGUGCUGCUGAAAAGUUGGAAACAGGGGUAGUAUGCAAUCCGGAGGUUAAUGCUUCGACGGCCGCUGGGGGCGGGCGGAAGCUUCUCGAAGACAGCGCGGCAGCAAGGCAAGCGCUCCGCAGGAGCGAGAGCAGCUGGCGCUCCGAGUAUGCUAUGUUCGUACUCUGUUCGUCUUCUCGCCUCGCGAUCAACGGCUGGCAGCAAGCGGCGGCGGCAGCACUGACGAGGAACAUAUUGAUUGGAGUUGUUGCAGCAAUAUGCAGAAACCGCCUUGGAGGUUUGCAGGGCGCAUUUGCUAUAUUUUUUUUAUGUGAAAUGGGGGAUCCAACAAUUUUGGAAGCUCUAGCAGUGAGGGGAGCUUCCUAG